GGGGGUGUAGCUCAGUGAUAGAGCACAUGCCUAGCACGUACAAGGCCCUGGGUUCAAUCCCCAGCACCUCCA
This 72-nucleotide transfer RNA is filed under the name Camelus ferus (Wild Bactrian camel). It matches the Rfam family "tRNA". From Rfam's summary of the family: Transfer RNA (tRNA) molecules are approximately 80 nucleotides in length. Their secondary structure includes four short double-helical elements and three loops (D, anti-codon, and T loops). Further hydrogen bonds mediate the characteristic L-shaped molecular structure. tRNAs have two regions of fundamental functional importance: the anti-codon, which is responsible for specific mRNA codon recognition, and the 3' end, to which the tRNAs corresponding amino acid is attached (by aminoacyl-tRNA synthetases). tRNAs cope with the degeneracy of the genetic code in two manners: having more than one tRNA (with a specific anti-codon) for a particular amino acid; and 'wobble' base-pairing, i.e. permitting non-standard base-pairing at the 3rd anti-codon position. The record is from Rfam by way of RNAcentral. Lineage: Eukaryota; Metazoa; Chordata; Mammalia; Artiodactyla; Camelidae.